UACGGAGGGUGCAAGCGUUAUCCGGAUUUACUGGGUUUAAAGGGUGCGUAGGUGGAUAAUUAAGUCAGUGGUGAAAUCUUCAGGCUUAACCUGGAAACUGCCAUUGAUACUAUUUGUCUUGAAUACUUUGGAGGUAAGCGGAAUAUGUCAUGUAGCGGUGAAAUGCUUAGAUAUGACAUAGAACACCAAUUGCGAAGGCAGCUUACUACACAGUAAUUGACACUGAGGCACGAAAGUGCGGGGAUCAAACAGG
This 253-nucleotide ribosomal RNA is filed under the name uncultured bacterium. RNAcentral describes it as "partial 16S ribosomal RNA". It matches the Rfam family "Bacterial small subunit ribosomal RNA", at positions 524 to 776 of the family's 1533-position model. The record is from RNAcentral.